Dermochelys coriacea (leatherback sea turtle) is the source of this 3147-nucleotide long non-coding RNA. RefSeq lists it as uncharacterized. The transcript has 3 exons. Lineage: Eukaryota; Metazoa; Chordata; Testudines; Dermochelyidae. The record is from RefSeq and is a predicted model, not a curated record.
GACCCUAUAGCAAGGAUGAAUGAGGCGCUAUACGGACUGCCAAACUCUACUGCUAAAGGGCAACUGGAAUAUUUCUUCUGUCUGCUGUUCAUAAGAUGCAUUUUCAGAAUGUUGAUUAAAUAGCUAUAAACAUGUGGACCUACCACUACUCAUUGACUAUAGUUUAGAAUACAGAUAACAUAUUUGCAUUUACUCGUAACAAUCCAUAUAAUCAGAGUUAUUUCUCAUGCAGAAAAAACAUUCCAAAGCUUGUGCUUUCCUUUAUUCCAAAAACCCCACACACCAGCUUGAGGGCUAUUAUCACCAUGGGCUGGGGCAAAUGCAUGGCCUGUGUCUUGUUCUCUGUCCUUUGCUACAGUAUUCUCUGGGAUAGAUAUCCAUUUUGCUGAAGGUGCUAUCUGACUAUAGAAUACACACUGUCAAGUACACCAUGUGGACCUUUUUAGGAUUUUCACUAUUUCCAUCUCUUCCAGCAGCAGGCAGAAGCAUCUGUGAACUUGGAAUCUAUCUUCACUGUUGAAUUUAAUUUUGGUAUACAAGCAAGUAAUGAUUUAGUACCAUGAGUGAGUUUUACAUGCAAUGUUAAGUUGAUUAGCCAUUAACACCCAUGAUUUCUUGGUACCCAAAUCCUGAAGUGCAGUAAUUUUAAAAAUUCUACAACAAAUAACACUGCAGAGUUUUAGAUUUAUUAUUAAAUGGUUUUCAGACCUGUUAACAAUUUAAAAAGCUAUAUCUAUUACCACCUUUUUCAGUCCCAGAUCUACGAACUCAGCCUAGGAUCCGAAUGACAAAAUAGGACUUUGCUAACAUCACUGCUAGUAAAUAUUUUGUAUUUGGAACUUUUAGCCAACAAUUCUUUUGAUGACACAGGAGCUAUAGCACAAUUAAGCUCACUUUAUAGCAUUACAGAACCAAAAUAGCUAACAGGGUAAAUAGUAAUUUAUUGUAUUCAUAACAGUGAGAAACUAACUCUAAACACAUACAUAAAUAAAUCUCAAAAAAAAGCUACUAUUUAUAAGUAUUCAGGAAAAUAACUGUCAGCACAUUUCAGUGUAAAGGUCUAACCUUUUGAAUAAUUAGCCUGUUGAUCUAACCAAAAAGGAUUAAUGUAAGUAGCCAAGAGCCAUGUGGGUGCAUCAAGUGUUAGUGCAGAAAACCAGAGUUCAUAAUAAAUACUAGGGUUGGAAAGAAUCUCAAGUCAUGCAGUCCAUUCCACUGAAUCAAUGCAGGACACUGGUCAAAUUUCUACAGCACACAUGUUCAUUCCCUCUUUAGCUUUAAUCUCAAGUGGUAGCCUAAUAAUGAUAAUUCAGCAACUUUCCUUAGCAAAUCAUUCUGUUGUCUGAGCUUACUGUUAAAAGGUGGUCCAUGAUUGUGUUUACAUUCUUCUUCUGUUUUAGGGCAUCAUUUGCAACAGUGUUUACCAAAUAAAAUUAUUUCCAUUGACUUCCUUUCUUUGGUAGCUAUGAUUUUUAUAUUCCCAAGGAAAGAUCUUUUGUGGAAGCUGUACAAAUCCAGUUAUUUCAACCUCUCACCAAAGUUAAUAUUUUUUUAAAUCUUUUACUAUAUUUGUCCUGCUUUUGGAUUUUCAAGGCACAAGGCAACAUGCUGCUACACAACUGAGAUCAGAAUCGACCCCUUACACAAUGCUAUGUUGCAGAGAAGAGGCUGUAUGUGUUUUAUAGUCCAGUGUUCCAACUUCCACAUUGGCAGACAUUUCACAGAAUGGAUAAUUUAGUAAGUUUAAAAUCUGGACCAAAGCAGCCACUGUAACAUCCUUCACACCUUGUAGUAAAAACCUUGAGUUUAAAUAUAUAAAUGUUAAAUCUGGCAGCAAGUCAGAGCAAAUUUUCUUACUACAACACACAUGGGAUAUUAACAUGUGGUGUGUCUCUUAAAAAAGGAUUAGUUAAGAGCAAUCAACUUGUCUUCAUAUUCAAAAACCGAGUAAAAAAUGGAAGACAUAUAUAUAUAUAUAGUAUAUAAACUAAAUCCAUUCAGCAGAACAAUUUAAUUAUUGUUGAAAACAGCAUAAAUGGAGAAAAUUUUAGAAUUCUAAAUGAUUUAAUGUAUGAUAAUGUUCUGUUGAUAUAUAAAUAGGGACAUUAGCUGCUCUAAUCAUACAAUGUAUUCGUAACAUCAAAUUUAAAAAAUAAAUCCAGGUCUGAAAUCUUGUAAUUUUUACUCAGUGACACUGUAACAGCCGUUAUAUGUAGUAUUUGUUUCUAUUUUGAUGUUCUUCCACUUAUUUAUGAAAAAUUGUCAAAAAUUGUGUAAAAUAAAAGCCAUUAUAUUUUCUUAUUACACCAUCAUUGAUGUGAACAGGAAAUGAUCACAAUCUUUUUCUAGUGGUAAUGAUAGCAGCCUACCAGUCCCACUCUUCCUGAAAGAUAUUGGGGAAGAUUUAAACCCUCUGUGCUUUUAAGGGAACAAUUUAUUUAGAUAUUUGUCAGCAAAAUUUGUAACUCCCAUGGGCCCACGCUAAGAUGAGUCCCUGGCUCCCUAUAGAGGUAAUGUAAGGAGAAUGGAAAUCGAUGCCUGUUCCCUACUCUCAGCUGAAGACAUGCCCAUAGAUGCCCUGCCAACACCACACAAGGAGAUUCCUUAAACUCUCCAUCUCCCAAAAAGUUCAUGUUUUUUCAUUAAGAAAAGCACAACUUAGCCUUCCUAUAUAACUGAGUUUAAGAUAUGAUUACUGCUUUCUGAGCUAUGAAUUAGAAUGUACUACCUUAACAUAUAGUCAACUCUAUGGAUAAAUUUUUUUGGCGGUUGUAGAUGUGUUAGAAUAGAUGAGUUAUUUUAUGUGUAAAAUCUGGAUAUUCUGACCAAGUAUCAUUAAAGAAACCUUGCCAUAUAGCAGUGUGGAGAUCUUGGGUUUUCAUAUACUAUUUACCGGGCAUUUGAGGUUAUAUGUAUUUUCUGAGCUCUGAGGAGACAUAUUCUCUAUCCUUAUUAUCCUGUUUUAAUUAAGUCGCCUGAAAAAAACAUUUGUCUUUGAAGUACGUUUUAGAAGAUCUUUCAAUAACGCCCAGUGCAACUGAGGUAGUAAAAAAAUCUCUCCCAUAUCUCACACUCAUAUUCUCAUUUACUUAUUGCAGCACUUGAACUGGCUCAGUAGAUUAUCUUGUGCAAAAUAAAAACAAUGAG